Molecule: long non-coding RNA, 275 nt
Organism: Coregonus clupeaformis (lake whitefish)
Lineage: Eukaryota; Metazoa; Chordata; Actinopteri; Salmoniformes; Salmonidae
Exons: 3
Source: RefSeq, a predicted model, not a curated record
UCCAGCAGGAUACACAGCCAACUAUAGUUUGCAUGCCCUGCUGAAGGGCCCUACCGGGCGGAAUUGGUGGUUAGAGUUUGUUGGUCCCCAAUGGCGACACGGUGCCCAGUUGGGUGCCAGACUGAUCCCCUGGUCAUGAACGGAUGCUGGCACCUACCAGAAGGAGCGAAAGCUUGUCAGGGCAAGACCUCAGAACAAAAGUGUGUCAUGCGACACAAGUACCCUUGUGACACCUUUUCCGUAAGUUCUCCCUGGCUGGACUCCUAUGAAAAGGC